CCUACGGGGGGCAGCAGUGGGGAAUAUUGGACAAUGGGGGCAACCCUGAUCCAGCCAUGCCGCGUGUGUGAAGAAGGCCCUCGGGUUGUAAAGCACUUUCAGUGAGGAAGAACGCCUGGUGGUUAAUACCCAUCAGGAAAGACAUCACUCACAGAAGAAGCACCGGCUAACUCCGUGCCAGCAGCCGCGGUAAUACGGAGGGUGCGAGCGUUAAUCGGAAUUACUGGGCGUAAAGCGCGAGUAGGUGGCUUGAUAAGCCGGUUGUGAAAGCCCCGGGCUCAACCUGGGAACGGCAUCCGGAACUGUCAAGCUAGAGUGCAGGAGAGGAAGGUAGAAUUCCCGGUGUAGCGGUGAAAUGCGUAGAGAUCGGGAGGAAUACCAGUGGCGAAGGCGGCCUUCUGGACUGACACUGACACUGAGGUGCGAAAGCGUGGGUAGCAAACAGGAUUAGAUACCCUUGUAGUC
RNAcentral lists this ribosomal RNA (465 nucleotides) under Vreelandella stevensii. RNAcentral describes it as "partial 16S ribosomal RNA". It matches the Rfam family "Bacterial small subunit ribosomal RNA", at positions 338 to 795 of the family's 1533-position model. Lineage: Bacteria; Pseudomonadati; Pseudomonadota; Gammaproteobacteria; Oceanospirillales; Halomonadaceae. The record is from RNAcentral.